GCUCGGAGCAGCUGCCCCUGGAAAGCGGAGGGCUCCGGGAGCACGGGAGCCCGAGGUUCACGGGCUGCUGGACCCUGCACUCACUGCAGGCUCCGGGCAGGAGAGGCUGGCCCGUCUGUGCGGUCCUCAGGUACUGAGAGGAGGCUACAGCCACAAGGAGCUCCCCAGCAUCACCUGGUGUGUUAAAAUAAGAUGGGCGGCAGGAAAGCCAGUGUCAGAGGGAGGGGUUCUGCUGAAGGCAGCAAAUGCUCGGGGCCACUGUCUGGUUCGUGUGAUCAGGACCUGCAAACGUAACACAGCAUCAGCAGUCGUUGUUGCACAAUCCUUCUGUGAAUGGAGGCACUCCAGCGACCAGCCCCAGCCCACAGGAAAGCAGGGACAGGAUCUCAAGAGCCCCCAGACCCUUUGUCACAAGAGAGGUUUUGGAUAUCAGCACCAAACCUUCUCUGGACUUCACUGGAGCCCUCUGUGUGUAGCUGCCAGUAAGAAGAGGGGGUUCAAAGCUCAUGGACUCCAGUGAUGGACACCAGUCAUCCAUAGCUCUUGGAGAGCAAUUUGAGAAGCAGGAAGAUGAUAAAGGACAGACAAAAUUGCACAAGACAGGUAAAUUCCUUGUAAUUUGUCUGUCCCUACAGGAAUCUCUUCUCCCUUCACACUGUUUCAUUAAGAAGCCUCUUGCCUACUGUAAUUAGCCCUUGAAUAAACACCAUGUCUGCAACACAA
Passer domesticus (house sparrow) is the source of this 723-nucleotide long non-coding RNA. RefSeq lists it as uncharacterized. NCBI's taxonomy places the organism in Eukaryota, Metazoa, Chordata, Aves, Passeriformes, Passeridae. The transcript has 2 exons. The record is from RefSeq and is a predicted model, not a curated record.